GACGAACGCUGGCGGCGUGCUUAACACAUGCAAGUCGAACGCUGAAGCCUGGCUUUUGUUGGGUGGAUGAGUGGCGAACAGGUGAGUAACACGUGAGUAACCUGCCCUCUUCUUUGGGAUAACGCCCGGAAACGGGUGCUAAUACUGGAUAUUCACUUGCCUUCGCAUGGGGGUGGGUGGAAAGGGUUUUUUCUGGUGGGGGAUGGGCUCGCGGCCUAUCAGCUUGUUGGUGGGGUGAUGGCUUACCAAGGCUUUGACGGGUAGCCGGCCUGAGAGGGUGACCGGUCACAUUGGGACUGAGAUACGGCCCAGACUCCUACGGGAGGCAGCAGUGGGGAAUAUUGCACAAUGGGCGCAAGCCUGAUGCAGCGACGCCGCGUGAGGGAUGGAGGCCUUCGGGUUGUGAACCUCUUUCGCUCAUGGUCAAGCCGCAACUCAUGGUUGUGGUGAGGGUAGUGGGUAAAGAAGCGCCGGCUAACUACGUGCCAGCAGCCGCGGUAAUACGUAGGGCGCGAGCGUUGUCCGGAAUUAUUGGGCGUAAAGGGCUUGUAGGCGGUUGGUCGCGUCUGCCGUGAAAUCCUCUGGCUUAACUGGGGGCGUGCGGUGGGUACGGGCUGGCUUGAGUGCGGUAGGGGAGACUGGAACUCCUGGUGUAGCGGUGGAAUGCGCAGAUAUCAGGAAGAACACCGGUGGCGAAGGCGGGUCUCUGGGCCGUUACUGACGCUGAGGAGCGAAAGCGUGGGGAGCGAACAGG
Molecule: ribosomal RNA, 754 nt
Filed under: uncultured Actinomyces sp.
Lineage: Bacteria; Bacillati; Actinomycetota; Actinomycetes; Actinomycetales; Actinomycetaceae
Description: bacterial SSU rRNA
Rfam family: Bacterial small subunit ribosomal RNA
Source: RNAcentral